GCAACCUGCCCCGAAGACCGGGAUAACACCGGGAAACCAGUGCUAAUACCGGAUGCCCCCACGAGCCCGCAUGGGUUUGUGAGGAAAGGAAUCCGCUUCGGGAGGGGCUCGCGACCUAUCAGCUUGUUGGUGGGGUAACGGCCUACCAAGGCUACGACGGGUAGCUGGUCUGAGAGGACGAUCAGCCACAUUGGGACUGAGACACGGCCCAAACUCCUACGGGAGGCAGCAGUAGGGAAUCUUGCGCAAUGGGCGAAAGCCUGACGCAGCAACGCCGCGUGGGGGAUGAAGGCCUUCGGGUUGUAAACUCCUUUUAGUGGGAACGAAAUUGACGGUACCCACAG
RNAcentral lists this ribosomal RNA (344 nucleotides) under uncultured actinobacterium WB034. Its description in RNAcentral is "bacterial SSU rRNA". It matches the Rfam family "Bacterial small subunit ribosomal RNA", at positions 121 to 484 of the family's 1533-position model. The record is from RNAcentral. Lineage: Bacteria; Bacillati; Actinomycetota; Actinomycetes.